Molecule: ribosomal RNA, 433 nt
Filed under: uncultured bacterium
Lineage: Bacteria
Description: partial 16S ribosomal RNA
Rfam family: Bacterial small subunit ribosomal RNA
Source: RNAcentral
AACGAACGCUGGCGGCAGGCCUAACACAUGCAAGUCGAGCGCGCCCUUCGGGGUUAGCGGCGGACGGGUGAGUAACGCGUGGGAACGUGCCCUUUUCUACGGAAUAGCCUCGGGAAACUGAGAGUAAUACCGUAUACGCCCUUUGGGGGAAAGAUUUAUCGGAAAAGGAUCGGCCCGCGUUGGAUUAGGUAGUUGGUGGGGUAAUGGCCUACCAAGCCGACGAUCCAUAGCUGGUUUGAGAGGAUGAUCAGCCACACUGGGACUGAGACACGGCCCAGACUCCUACGGGAGGCAGCAGUGGGGAAUAUUAGACAAUGGGGGCAACCCUGAUCUAGCCAUGCCGCGUGAGUGAUGAAGGCCUUAGGGUUGUAAAGCUCUUUCAGCUGGGAAGAUAAUGACGGUACCAGCAGAAGAAGCCCCGGCUAACUCCGUG